AUUGAACGCUGACGGAAUGCUUUACACAUGCAAGUCGAACGGCAGCACGGACUUCGGUCUGGUGGCGAGUGGCGAACGGGUGAGUAAUGUAUCGGAACGUGCCCAGUCGUGGGGGAUAACGUAGUGAAAAUUACGCUAAUACCGCAUACGAUCUAUGGAUGAAAGCGGGGGAUCGCAAGACAUCGCGCGAUUGGAGCGGCCGAUAUCAGAUUAGGUAGUUGGUGGGGUAAAGGCCCACCAAGCCAACGAUCGGUAGCUGGUCUGAGAGGACGACCAGCCACACUGGAACUGAGACACGGUCCAGACUCCUACGGGAGGCAGCAGUGGGGAAUUUUGGACAAUGGGCGAAAGCCUGAUCCAGCCAUUCCGCGUGCAGGAUGAAGGCCCUCGGGUUGUAAACUGCUUUUGUACAGAACGAAAAGGUCUCUACUAAUACUAGGAGCUCAUGACGGUACUGUAAGAAUAAGCACCGGCUAACUACGUGCCAGCAGCCGCAGUAA
RNAcentral lists this ribosomal RNA (500 nucleotides) under uncultured bacterium. RNAcentral describes it as "partial 16S ribosomal RNA". It matches the Rfam family "Bacterial small subunit ribosomal RNA", at positions 30 to 523 of the family's 1533-position model. The record is from RNAcentral.